This 471-nucleotide ribosomal RNA is filed under the name Triticum aestivum (bread wheat). RNAcentral describes it as "partial small subunit ribosomal RNA". The record is from RNAcentral. Lineage: Eukaryota; Viridiplantae; Streptophyta; Magnoliopsida; Poales; Poaceae.
UUUGUUGUUAAUGAGGCCGACAAAUGUGUAUACUAUCGCUAUGGUGGGGGCGAAGGAGUUAUACUGUGUUUGUAUGUUGAUGACAUACUGAUAUUUGGGACUAAUCUCAAGUUGAUCGAGGAAGUUAAGUCUUUCCUAUCUCAGAACUUUGAGAUGAAGGACCUUGGAGUGGCUGAUGUUAUCUUGAACAUCAAGCUAUUGAGAGAUGAUGAAGGUGGGAUUACACUUCUGCAAUCCCAUUAUGUUGAGAAGGUGUUGAGUCGUUUUGGAUAUUCGGACUGCAAACCAUCUCAAACACCAUAUGAUCCUAGUGUGCUGAUUCGAAAGUCUAAAGGCACAGCUAUAGAUCAAUUGAGAUACUCUCAGAUUGUUGGUUCACUACAGUAUCUAGCGAGCGUAACGAGGCCUGACAUCGCAUUUGCUAUUAGCAAACUGAGCCGAUUUGUUUCCAAACCGGGUUAUGUACAUUAG